RNAcentral lists this ribosomal RNA (534 nucleotides) under uncultured Micromonospora sp. RNAcentral's name for it is "bacterial SSU rRNA". It matches the Rfam family "Bacterial small subunit ribosomal RNA", at positions 498 to 1032 of the family's 1533-position model. Lineage: Bacteria; Bacillati; Actinomycetota; Actinomycetes; Micromonosporales; Micromonosporaceae. The record is from RNAcentral.
CAACUACGUGCCAGCAGCCGCGGUAAGACGUAGGGCGCGAGCGUUGUCCGGAUUUAUUGGGCGUAAAGAGCUCGUAGGCGGCUUGUUGCGUCGUCCGUGAAAACCUGGGGCUCAACUCCAGGCUUGCGGUCGAUACGGGCAGGCUAGAGUUCGGUAGGGGAGACUGGAAUUCCUGGUGUAGCGGUGAAAUGCGCAGAUAUCAGGAGGAACACCGGUGGCGAAGGCGGGUCUCUGGGCCGAUACUGACGCUGAGGAGCGAAAGCGUGGGGAGCGAACAGGAUUAGAUACCCUGGUAGUCCACGCUGUAAACGUUGGGCGCUAGGUGUGGGGGGCCUCUCCGGUUUCCUGCGCCGUAGCUAACGCAUUAAGCGCCCCGCCUGGGGAGUACGGCCGCAAGGCUAAAACUCAAAGGAAUUGACGGGGGCCCGCACAAGCGGCGGAGCAUGCGGAUUAAUUCGAUGCGACGCGAAGAACCUUACCUGGGUUUGACAUGGCCGUUAAAGCCGUAGAGAUACGGUGUCCUUCGGGGGCGGU